Molecule: transfer RNA, 73 nt
Filed under: Granulicatella sp. WM01
Lineage: Bacteria; Bacillati; Bacillota; Bacilli; Lactobacillales; Carnobacteriaceae
Also listed under: 5 other names
Rfam family: tRNA
About the family: Transfer RNA (tRNA) molecules are approximately 80 nucleotides in length. Their secondary structure includes four short double-helical elements and three loops (D, anti-codon, and T loops).
Source: Rfam by way of RNAcentral
GCUGCUUUAGCUCAGUUGGCAGAGCGCAACCAUGGUAAGGUUGAGGUCGUCGGUUCAAUCCCGAUAAGCAGCU